AACCUAACGACUCUCGGCAACGGAUAUCUCGGCUCUCGCAUCGAUGAAGAACGUAGCAAAAUGCGAUACUUGGUGUGAAUUGCAGAAUCCCGUGAAUCAUCGAGUCUUUGAACGCAAGUUGCGCCUGAAGCCUUUAGGCCAAGGGCACGUCUGCCUG
Molecule: ribosomal RNA, 157 nt
Filed under: Graptopetalum bartramii
Lineage: Eukaryota; Viridiplantae; Streptophyta; Magnoliopsida; Saxifragales; Crassulaceae
Description: 5.8S ribosomal RNA
Rfam family: 5.8S ribosomal RNA
About the family: 5.8S ribosomal RNA (5.8S rRNA) is a component of the large subunit of the eukaryotic ribosome. It is transcribed by RNA polymerase I as part of the 45S precursor that also contains 18S and 28S rRNA.
Source: RNAcentral